RNAcentral lists this ribosomal RNA (253 nucleotides) under uncultured bacterium. Its description in RNAcentral is "partial 16S ribosomal RNA". It matches the Rfam family "Bacterial small subunit ribosomal RNA", at positions 524 to 776 of the family's 1533-position model. The record is from RNAcentral.
UACGGAGGGAGCUAGCGUUGUUCGGAAUUACUGGGCGUAAAGCGCGCGUAGGCGGCUUUGUAAGUUAGAGGUGAAAGCCCGGGGCUCAACCCCGGAACUGCCUUUAAGACUGCAUCGCUUGAAUCCGGGAGAGGUGAGUGGAAUUCCGAGUGUAGAAGUGAAAUUCGUAGAUAUUCGGAAGAACACCAGUGGCGAAGGCGGCUCACUGGACCGGCAUUGACGCUGAGGUGCGAAAGCGUGGGGAGCAAACAGG